This 109-nucleotide ribosomal RNA is filed under the name Monopterus albus (swamp eel). Lineage: Eukaryota; Metazoa; Chordata; Actinopteri; Synbranchiformes; Synbranchidae. The record is from RNAcentral.
AGGGGUAGCCACACCAUUCUGGUCCUGCCUGAUCUUGGAAGCUAAGCAAGGUCAAACCUGCUUAGUACUUGGAUGGGGUAUCACCUGGGAAUCCCAGGUGCUGUUCAGU